This 27-nucleotide non-coding RNA is filed under the name Rattus norvegicus (Norway rat). Lineage: Eukaryota; Metazoa; Chordata; Mammalia; Rodentia; Muridae. The record is from RNAcentral.
UGGAGAAGAAAGAAUACAUCCAGGCGG